GAUGAAGAGGUCAAAUAGCAACGAGAGCAGCAUCAGUCAUAAGUAAAGGAAAAACAGGAAGAAAUCAUGAGGCAACAACAACAACACUGAUUAGACAUGAAGGGAAGAGGGGAAGAACUAAUAAUAUAGUUAGAACGACGUCAAUGUGAAAGAUUUGACUUGCUUGCUCAGAUUCAGAGGUUGGAGGCGGAUCCGAGUUUGUGAGCUAA
RNAcentral lists this long non-coding RNA (209 nucleotides) under Gossypium raimondii (Peruvian cotton). RNAcentral's name for it is "long non-coding RNA (GRAI_LNC003787)". Lineage: Eukaryota; Viridiplantae; Streptophyta; Magnoliopsida; Malvales; Malvaceae. The record is from RNAcentral.